GACGAACGCUGGCGGCGUGCUUAACACAUGCAAGUCGAACGGAAAGGCCCUGCUUUUGUGGGGUGCUCGAGUGGCGAACGGGUGAGUAACACGUGAGUAACCUGCCCUUGACUUUGGGAUAACUUCAGGAAACUGGGGCUAAUACCGGAUAGGAGCUCCUGCUGCAUGGUGGGGGUUGGAAAGUUUCGGCGGUUGGGGAUGGACUCGCGGCUUAUCAGCUUGUUGGUGGGGUAGUGGCUUACCAAGGCUUUGACGGGUAGCCGGCCUGAGAGGGUGACCGGCCACAUUGGGACUGAGAUACGGCCCAGACUCCUACGGGAGGCAGCAGUGGGGAAUAUUGCACAAUGGGCGGAAGCCUGAUGCAGCAACGCCGCGUGCGGGAUGACAGCCUUCGGGUUGUAAACCGCUUUCGCCUGUGACGAAGCGUGAGUGACGGUAAUGGGUAAAGAAGCACCGGCUAACUACGUGCCAGCAGCCGCGGUGAUACGUAGGGUGCGAGCGUUGUCCGGAUUUAUUGGGCGUAAAGGGCUCGUAGGUGGUUGAUCGCGUCGGAAGUGUAAUCUUGGGGCUUAACCCUGAGCGUGCUUUCGAUACGGGUUGACUUGAGGAAGGUAGGGGAGAAUGGAAUUCCUGGUGGAGCGGUGGAAUGCGCAGAUAUCAGGAGGAACACCAGUGGCGAAGGCGGUUCUCUGGGCCUUUCCUGACGCUGAGGAGCGAAAGCGUGGGGAGCGAACAGGCUUAGAUACCCUGGUAGUCCACGCUGUAAACGGUGGGUACUAGGUGUGGGGUCCAUUCCACGGGUUCCGUGCCGUAGCUAACGCUUUAAGUACCCCGCCUGGGGAGUACGGCCGCAAGGCUAAAACUCAAAGGAAUUGACGGGGCCCCGCACAAGCGGCGGAGCAUGCGGAUUAAUUCGAUGCAACGCGUAGAACCUUACCUGGGUUUGACAUGGAUCGGGAGCGCUCAGAGAUGGGUGUGCCUCUUUUGGGGUCGGUUCACAGGUGGUGCAUGGCUGUCGUCAGCUCGUGUCGUGAGAUGUUGGGUUAAGUCCCGCAACGAGCGCAACCCUUGUUCACUGUUGCCAGCACGUUAUGGUGGGGACUCAGUGGAGACCGCCGGGGUCAACUCGGAGGAAGGUGGGGAUGACGUCAAGUCAUCAUGCCCCUUAUGUCCAGGGCUUCACGCAUGCUACAAUGGCUGGUACAGAGAGUGGCGAGCCUGUGAGGGUGAGCGAAUCUCGGAAAGCCGGUCUCAGUUCGGAUUGGGGUCUGCAACUCGACCUCAUGAAGUCGGAGUCGCUAGUAAUCGCAGAUCAGCAACGCUGCGGUGAAUACGUUCCCGGG
This 1343-nucleotide ribosomal RNA is filed under the name uncultured bacterium. RNAcentral describes it as "16S ribosomal RNA". It matches the Rfam family "Bacterial small subunit ribosomal RNA", at positions 28 to 1378 of the family's 1533-position model. The record is from RNAcentral.